This 498-nucleotide ribosomal RNA is filed under the name uncultured bacterium. RNAcentral's name for it is "partial 16S ribosomal RNA". It matches the Rfam family "Bacterial small subunit ribosomal RNA", at positions 28 to 523 of the family's 1533-position model. The record is from RNAcentral.
GAUGAACGCUAGCGGCAGGCUUAAUACAUGCAAGUCGAACGGGAUUGAGAAGCUUGCUUUUCAUGAGAGUGGCGCACGGGUGCGUAACACGUAUGCAACCUACCUUGUCCAGGGGGAUAGCCCGUUGAAAGAUGGAUUAAGACCGCAUAACAUUGAGCUGUGGCAUCACAAAUCAAUCAAAUAUUUAUAGGGACAAGAUGGGCAUGCGCCUGAUUAGGUAGUUGGCGGGGUAAUGGCCCACCAAGCCGACGAUCAGUAGGGGAUCUGAGAGGAUGACCCCCCACACUGGUACUGAGACACGGACCAGACUCCUACGGGAGGCAGCAGUAAGGAAUAUUGGUCAAUGGGCGAAAGCCUGAACCAGCCAUGCCGCGUGCAGGAAGACGGCCCUACGGGUUGUAAACUGCUUUUAUACGGGAAUAACCCCGGUUUCGUGAAACCGGCUGAAUGUACCGUAAGAAUAAGGAUCGGCUAACUCCGUGCCAGCAGCCGCCGUAA